AUGGCGAUCUCCAAGCUCAUGGCAUUGCUCUUCGCUUUCACGGCUGUGGCAGCGACGCUGCCGCCGUCCGAAGCGAGGGUGAAGGGGUUCACCACCACAACCGCGAACCAAGAAGAAGCAGAUCCUUCGUCCAAGGCCGCCGCCCAGGCCGGAGGCACCCCCGGCUUCUCCCUCCCGCUGCCUCAGAUCCCCGGCCUUCCGCCGUUGUUCGGCGGCUUUCCCUUCCCGCCAUUGCCACAGAUCCCCGGGCUCCCACCGUUGUUCGGGCCGCUCCCCGGCGCGCCAGGCGCUCCACCAGCUCAAGGCCUGCCCGGCCUCCCACACUUCCCGCGCAGCGCUGGCUCUGCUGCCGCCCCAUCGCCGCCACCGCCCGCGGAGUGCCUGACGCCAUUGAUGCAGAUGGCGCCAUGCGUGGACUACCUCACCAACAUCACCGUCGUCACGCUCCCGGCCACGUGCUGCGACGGCCUCAAGUCGGUCAUCAGCGGCGCGCCCAUCUGCCUCUGUCACGGCAUGAACGGCGGCAUGAGCAAGCUCUUCCCGACGCCCAUCGAUCCGAUCCGGAUGCUCAUCCUGCCGCUCGGGUGCGGCGCCAUGCUGCCACUAGGGACGCUUCUCACGUGCUCCGCUCAACCCCUGCCGCCGCUGGCGCCCCCUACUUCUCCCGUGUCUCCGGCGCCUGCUGGUUCUCCCGUGUCAGCACCUACAGAGGCUUCACCAUAA
This 723-nucleotide ribosomal RNA is filed under the name Triticum aestivum (bread wheat). RNAcentral describes it as "partial small subunit ribosomal RNA". Lineage: Eukaryota; Viridiplantae; Streptophyta; Magnoliopsida; Poales; Poaceae. The record is from RNAcentral.